This 815-nucleotide ribosomal RNA is filed under the name Corynebacterium sp. RNAcentral's name for it is "bacterial SSU rRNA". It matches the Rfam family "Bacterial small subunit ribosomal RNA", at positions 179 to 1006 of the family's 1533-position model. The record is from RNAcentral. Lineage: Bacteria; Bacillati; Actinomycetota; Actinomycetes; Mycobacteriales; Corynebacteriaceae.
ACCGCACUUUAGUGUGUGUGGUGGAAAGUUUUUUCGGUACGAGAUGAGCCCGCGGCCUAUCAGCUUGUUGGUGGGGUAAUGGCCUACCAAGGCGUCGACGGGUAGCCGGCCUGAGAGGGUGGACGGCCACAUUGGGACUGAGAUACGGCCCAGACUCCUACGGGAGGCAGCAGUGGGGAAUAUUGCACAAUGGGCGCAAGCCUGAUGCAGCGACGCCGCGUGAGGGAUGACGGCCUUCGGGUUGUAAACCUCUUUCGACAGGGACGAAGCUUUUUGUGACGGUACCUGUAUAAGAAGCACCGGCUAACUACGUGCCAGCAGCCGCGGUAAUACGUAGGGUGCGAGCGUUGUCCGGAAUUACUGGGCGUAAAGAGCUCGUAGGUGGUUUGUCGCGUCGUCUGUGAAAUUCCGGGGCUUAACUCCGGGCGUGCAGGCGAUACGGGCAUAACUUGAGUGCUGUAGGGGAGACUGGAAUUCCUGGUGUAGCGGUGGAAUGCGCAGAUAUCAGGAGGAACACCGAUGGCGAAGGCAGGUCUCUGGGCAGUAACUGACGCUGAGGAGCGAAAGCAUGGGGAGCGAACAGGAUUAGAUACCCUGGUAGUCCAUGCCGUAAACGGUGGGCGCUAGGUGUGAGGGUCUUCCACGACUUUCGUGCCGUAGCUAACGCAUUAAGCGCCCCGCCUGGGGGAGUACGGCCGCAAGGCUAAAACUCAAAGGAAUUGACGGGGGCCCGCACAAGCGGCGGAGCAUGUGGAUUAAUUCGAUGCAACGCGAGAACCUUACCUGGGCUUGACAUAUACAGAUCGGCGUAGAGA